This 429-nucleotide ribosomal RNA is filed under the name Gemmatimonadota bacterium. Its description in RNAcentral is "Gemmatimonadetes bacterium partial 16S ribosomal RNA". It matches the Rfam family "Bacterial small subunit ribosomal RNA", at positions 355 to 776 of the family's 1533-position model. Lineage: Bacteria; Pseudomonadati; Gemmatimonadota. The record is from RNAcentral.
UAGGGAAUCUUCGGCAAUGGACGAAAGUCUGACCGAGCAACGCCGCGUUAGUGAAGAAGGUUUUCGGAUCGUAAAACUUUGUUGUUAGAGAAGAACAAGGACGUUAGUAACUGAACGUCCCCUGACGGUAUCUAACCAGAAAGCCACGGCUAACUACGUUCCAGCAGCCGCGGUAAUACGUAGGUGGCAAGCGUUGUCCGGAUUUAUUGGGCGGAAAGCGAGCGCAGGCGGUUUCUUAAGUCUGAUGUGAAAGCCCCCGGCUCAACCGGGGAGGGUCAUUGGAAACUGGGAGACUUGAGUGCAGAAGAGGAGGGUGGAAUUCCAUGUGUAGCGGUGAAAUGCGUAGAUAUAUGGAGGAACACCAGUGGCAAAGGCGGCUCUCUGGUCUGUAACUGACGCUGAGGCUCGAAAGCGUGGGGAGCAAACAGG